Molecule: ribosomal RNA, 112 nt
Filed under: uncultured bacterium
Lineage: Bacteria
Description: partial 16S ribosomal RNA
Rfam family: Bacterial small subunit ribosomal RNA
Source: RNAcentral
UGCNGCGUGUGUGAAGAAGGCCUGAGGGUUGUAAAGCNCUUUCAGUAGGGAAGAUAAUGACGGUACCUACAGAAGAAGCACCGGCUAACUCCGUGCCAGCAGCCGCGGUAAU